CCCUUAGAUGUUCUGGGCCGCACGCGUGUUACACUGAUGCAUUCAACGAGCUUAUAACCUUGGCCGAGAGGCCUGGGCAAUCUUGUUAACGUGCAUCGUGAUAGGGAUAGAUUAUUGAAAUUAUUAAUCUUGAACGAGGAAUUCCUAGUAAACGCAGAUCAUCAAUCUGCAUUGAUUACGUCCCUGCCCUUUGUACACACCGCCCGUCGCACCUACCGAUUGGAUGGUCCGGUGAAGCCUCGGGAUUGUGGUUCUUGCCGCUUUAUUGUGGCGUGACCGCGAGAACUUGUCUAAACCUUAUCAUCUAGAGGAAGGUGAAGUCGUAACA
RNAcentral lists this ribosomal RNA (328 nucleotides) under uncultured eukaryote. RNAcentral's name for it is "partial 18S ribosomal RNA". It matches the Rfam family "Eukaryotic small subunit ribosomal RNA", at positions 1470 to 1796 of the family's 1831-position model. The record is from RNAcentral.